This 354-nucleotide RNase P RNA is filed under the name Candidatus Nitrotoga sp. HW29. RNAcentral describes it as "RNaseP_bact_a". It matches the Rfam family "Bacterial RNase P class A". From Rfam's summary of the family: Ribonuclease P (RNase P) is a ubiquitous endoribonuclease, found in archaea, bacteria and eukarya as well as chloroplasts and mitochondria. Its best characterised activity is the generation of mature 5'-ends of tRNAs by cleaving the 5'-leader elements of precursor-tRNAs. Cellular RNase Ps are ribonucleoproteins. Lineage: Bacteria; Pseudomonadati; Pseudomonadota; Betaproteobacteria; Nitrosomonadales; Gallionellaceae. The record is from RNAcentral.
GAAGCUGGCUAGACAGUCGCCGCGUCCACCAAGUAAGGGCGGGGAGGAAAGUCCGGGCUCCAUAGAGCAAGAUGCCGGUUAAUGGCCGGACACCGUGAGGUGAUGAAAAGUGCCACAGAGAAUAGUCUGCCUAAGUUCUGCAAGGAAACGGCGAGGGUGAAACGGCGGGGUAAGAGCCCACCGCGGACGUGGUAACACGGACGGCACGGUAAACUCCAUCUGGAGCAAGACCAAAUAGGCAGGUAAUGACGUGGCUCGCGUCGCCUGCGGGUAGGUCGCUUGAGCGUCAGGUAACGAAACGCCUAGAGGAAUGACUGUCCACGACAGAACCCGGCUUAUCGGCUAGCUUCACUU